Molecule: long non-coding RNA, 203 nt
Organism: Nyctereutes procyonoides (raccoon dog)
Lineage: Eukaryota; Metazoa; Chordata; Mammalia; Carnivora; Canidae
Exons: 3
Source: RefSeq, a predicted model, not a curated record
CGCAGAGCCGAGGCGGGAGGUGGAAAGAGCACCGCGUGGGAGAUUACAGGUAUGAGCAGCAGAUGAUGGUGGUGAUUUAAGAUAGCUAAGCUGUUCUGUCUUUGCUUCUGCCUCUGACCUUGGUCUUUGAGCUCACAGAGCUGGGCAGCUGGAGGUAUGAAAGCCAGCCAUAAACUCCUGCUUGAAUGUGGGCACCUGCGGGU